RNAcentral lists this transfer RNA (40 nucleotides) under Bronchocela burmana (Burmese green crested lizard). Its description in RNAcentral is "partial tRNA-Cys". Lineage: Eukaryota; Metazoa; Chordata; Lepidosauria; Squamata; Agamidae. The record is from RNAcentral.
GCCAAAUUGCAAAUUUGGUUCUGAGUUUUCUCCUAGGCCU